UUUUUUUUUUUUUUUUUUUUUAGGGCUGCACCUGCGGCGUGUGAAUAUUCCCAGGCCAGGGGUCUAAUAGGAGCUAUAGCCACCAGCCUACACCACAGCCACAGCCAACGCAGGAUCCGAGCCACGUCUGCGACCUACACCACAGCUCACAGCAACUCUGGAUCCUUAACCCACUGAGCAAGGCCAGGGAUUGAACCUGCAUCCACGUGGACGCCGGUCACAUUUGUUAACCGCUGAGCCGCGAUAGGAACUCCAUGGACGUCUAUUUAAAAAGCCUCUCUUGCACGGGCUCACAUCCCCCUCACGUGUGUCCAAAUACCCCACGCAGAGCCAGAAAUUGCAAAGGUGCACAACUCACAGACAACACACAUCUGUACUACACGUGUGCCUGCUCCCCAGACACCCAACAAAGAGCCGCCACAUGGAUCACCAAUUACCAGGGAACCACCACCUCUACAAACACAGCCCGGGGUGUGCAUACACACCCAUCACAUGUUGACCCACACUAAACAGACACUACCCUGAAUUUAUUUUGCCUCUGGGAACUGGUCCAGGACCAAAGGAGCUAUGCUCUGCUGAUGAAAACAUCCCUCCCGCCUCUGCCAAACCCCCCCCAACCUCUUGCCCCAGGCAGCUUGUUGUCCACCUCCCCCUGGGAGAGGGAGGGCUGCUGGAGGACAGGGGAGAGAUGGGAUGAGGGGAGGCACAGAGCCCACCCCAAAGUCCGGCAGGCCCUCUCUUCCCCUUCCCCCCCACCAAGAGAUGCAAAAGGGUCUCCACCCAACCUCCUCCCACCUGCAAUGCUCGUUCAGCCCACUUGCCUAGAUUCCCAAGCCCUGGUCCAAGGAAGCCAAAACACAGCAAGGGAGGUGGCUGGAUUUAGGGACUCCUAAGGAAAGGGCUGUCUGGGGGCACUUUCCUGCAGCUCGAAGCCCCGGGUCCCCCAGGGAAGGUUGCCACAGAAACAGGGGGAAAUAUCACAGGGAAACACAAUACCCGGCAGGGUCACCUGCUGACCAGGCUUCCUGCUGUGUUGCCCACCCCCGCCCCCUUCUCAUUGCCCUUGCAGCCUCCUUCACUGGCCUCAGCCUGGGCCUCCUCACCAAAGCGCUCCUUCCUGCCUCCUGUGGGCUAGGGGAAGCAGCCUUAGGCAGAAACACAGCCUCUCUGGGUUCCAAACAACAACAUCAGGGAUGGCCCAGAGCUGAGUCCCCCACUCCUAAUCCUACCAGCACCCCCACCACAGGAAAUCAAAGCUUCCUGCCCCAGAGGAAGUGCCCCAUCUAGUGAACAAAUCCAACACAUAAACUCACAGUCCUGGAGCCGUGGGGAGGACAGACGCCCUCCCCGCCAGCUCCCAUGCCUUUCCCCAGCCCUGCUUCCAGCAACAGCCCACACCCCACUUCAGCCCCAGUCUCAAUUCUGGGCACUGGGCAGGGCCAAGGUGUGACAAGGAUGUGGGCAGCACCUGAGCCAGGCCAGGGGAGGAGAAGGUCAGAAGAACGGGCCCUGGCAGAGUUAGAAAGUCUGGUCCCAGCCCAGCUCAGCCUGGCUGAGUGACCCUGGGCCUCACAUUAGCUCGUAUUCUCUCCGGCCCCUGCCAACUUCAAAAUUACCAGCUCUUAAGCCAAGUCCAGGAGAAGGAAGGCAAAGCGGUGGGGGGUUACACAGGCUCCUGCCUUGGGCAAGCAUGCCUGCAGCUACAGCAAGUCCCCACUCCCCACCCCCAUUACGCAGGAGCUGCUCACUUCCAAGGAUUUUAUAUCCGGAUUGAGGAAGGGAUGGAGGAAGAGAAAGUUCCAACUCUCAUUGCCAGACAAGGAUGAAAGCUGGGGUCCAUUAUUCCUGAAGGAAGUGGGGGGGCAAAAUGGCUCCCACGCUGGACACGGAUCCCUCGCCUUAGAGUCUGCCGCUCCUCCUCUGGGAUCAUUUUAUUGACGGGGAAACUGAGAUUCGGUGUCAAAGCGGAGUGGCCAGUAUAGAUUCUUAGAUCAAGCCAUGCAAAGACCUGAAUGCAACUUUCCCAUCCCCAGGAUCACAGCUUAAGACUUGGGGCUAGAGAGAUACCCACCCCUGGGCUCAAGCUAAGGAACACAGAGACCUCAGGAGGACACUGCCCCGGGGCCAGUCCAGCUGAAACACCAAGAAGCAGCUUGGAGCCUGGCCAUUCGGGGUAUGAAAAACAUCAGGGGACCAAAGGCAAGGGGAGGAGUCCCAGUGGGUCCAGGACCCGGUUCCAGUUCAGGUUCACUGGAAACAACACAGUGAGCCUGCUUUGUGCUUUAAGUUCCCCAGAAGUGACUCUACAGAAUCAGAAAAUUACUUCUUCCAUCAGGUGGGUAGAGGGAACAGAGCAGAGAGGAGGGAGAAUGAGAUGCUGAGCAAUGAGGAGCUAAGAGGUGUCUUGCAGAAGCAGGAAAAGGAGCUUCCAAGAAGGCUGGUGUGAGGAGAGGAGUGUAUGUGGCAGCCUAAGCCACUCAGAGGACCUGGCCUACGGGGUCCCACAGGGAACAGAUGGGCCACCAAAGUAGCACACUAGAGGGUAGGGAACUAAGCCACAUUCUCCUUUCUUUCAGCCCAGCAGCUGGCAGGGAUCCUGAGGAAGGACCCCACGGGUACAGGUCCAAGUCCAGGGAACAGGCUGAGGAGUCCAGAUGUUGAGUUCCCAGGAAGGCCACUGAGACUGACAGGCAGAGCUGGGCCUCAGGCAGAUGUUGAAUGGGGGGGCAGCAGCAAGACAGCCAGUGUCCAGACGCAGGAGGAGGCCUCGUGUAUGCAGGACAGCCAGCAGGGACAAGGGAAUGACCAGGACUUGGUGGGAAGGGCACCAAUGGCUGGUGAGGUCGGAUUCGAACGGGCAGCCUGGGCAGCCAGAGGGAAGGAAAUGGGGCGGGGGGUGGGGGGGAGCUGGGGAGCCUGCAAACCCAGAGGGCUCUCUCUCCCAGCUCACAGGCCUAGAAACUUUGGGCGUCAGAGGCCAGCCCAGCGGCCAGAUUUGCUGCCUGCUCUCACACUCCCCAGAACCAACGGAUCUCAGGCCUGGGGGGCGCACAUCCUGUCC
RNAcentral lists this long non-coding RNA (3061 nucleotides) under Sus scrofa (pig). Its description in RNAcentral is "lncRNA (ENSSSCG00015040744.1)". The record is from RNAcentral. Lineage: Eukaryota; Metazoa; Chordata; Mammalia; Artiodactyla; Suidae.